Podarcis lilfordi (Lilford's wall lizard) is the source of this 73-nucleotide non-coding RNA. The record is from the annotation of a GenBank genome assembly. NCBI's taxonomy places the organism in Eukaryota, Metazoa, Chordata, Lepidosauria, Squamata, Lacertidae.
ACCUGGAUAGCUCAUCUGGUAGAGCAGAAGACUCUUAAUCUCAGGGUCGUAGGUUUGACCCCCACAUUGGGCA